This 253-nucleotide ribosomal RNA is filed under the name uncultured bacterium. Its description in RNAcentral is "partial 16S ribosomal RNA". It matches the Rfam family "Bacterial small subunit ribosomal RNA", at positions 524 to 776 of the family's 1533-position model. The record is from RNAcentral.
GACAGAGGGUGCAAACGUUGUUCGGAAUUACUGGGCGUAAAGCGUGUGUAGGCGGCCACGUAAGUCGGAUGUGAAAGCCCCGGGCUCAACUCGGGAAGUGCACUCGAUACUGCGUGGCUUGAGUACUGGAGAGGUUGGUGGAAUUCUCGGUGUAGAGGUGAAAUUCGUAGAUAUCGAGAGGAACACCGGUGGCGAAGGCGGCCAACUGGACAGAUACUGACGCUGAGGAGCGAAAUCGUGGGGAGCAAACAGG